Molecule: ribosomal RNA, 207 nt
Filed under: uncultured bacterium
Lineage: Bacteria
Description: partial 16S ribosomal RNA
Rfam family: Bacterial small subunit ribosomal RNA
Source: RNAcentral
GAUUGCAGGCUGCAACUCGCCUGCAUGAAGUCGGAAUUGCUAGUAAUCGUAGGUCAGCAUACUACGGUGAAUACGUUCCCGGGCCUUGUACACACCGCCCGUCAAACCAUGAGAGUUGGCAACCACCCGAAGUCGGUAGUCUAACCGCAAGGAGGACGCCGCCGAAGGUGGGGGUUGAUGAUUAGGGUUAAGUCGUAACAAGGUAAC